This is a microRNA precursor of Oryza sativa Indica Group (long-grained rice), 201 nucleotides long. It matches the Rfam family "MIR812 microRNA precursor family". The record is from Rfam. NCBI's taxonomy places the organism in Eukaryota, Viridiplantae, Streptophyta, Magnoliopsida, Poales, Poaceae.
AACAAAUACAGUUUUAUACUAUUCAUAUCCAACAUUUGAUCAUUCAUCUUAUUUAUUUUUUUAUGAUUAGUAUUUUUAUUAUUAUUAGAUGAUAAAAUAUAAAUAAUACUUUAUAUGUGACUAAUUUUUUAUUUUUUUAUAAUUCGUUUAAAUAAUACGGACGGUCAAACAUUGGACAUGGAUACCACGACUACACUUAUU